AGCGAACGCUGGCGGCAGGCUUAACACAUGCAAGUCGAGCGGGCGUAGCAAUACGUCAGCGGCAGACAGGUGAGUAACGCGUGGGAACGUACCUUUUGGUUCGGAACAACACAGGGAAACUUGUGCUAAUACCGGAUAAGCCCUUACGGGGAAAGAUUUAUCGCCGAAAGAUCGGCCCGCGUCUGAUUAGCUAGUUGGUGAGGUAACGGCUCACCAAGGCGACGAUCAGUAGCUGGUCUGAGAGGAUGAUCAGCCACAUUGGGACUGAGACACGGCCCAAACUCCUACGGGAGGCAGCAGUGGGGAAUAUUGGACAAUGGGCGCAAGCCUGAUCCAGCCAUGCCGCGUGAGUGAUGAAGGCCCUAGGGUUGUAAAGCUCUUUUGUGCGGGAAGAUAAUGACGGUACCGCAAGAAUAAGCCCCGGCUAACUUCGUGCCAGCCGCCGCCGUAA
RNAcentral lists this ribosomal RNA (451 nucleotides) under uncultured bacterium. Its description in RNAcentral is "partial 16S ribosomal RNA". It matches the Rfam family "Bacterial small subunit ribosomal RNA", at positions 29 to 523 of the family's 1533-position model. The record is from RNAcentral.